UGCUGUUUGCCCGUCAAGAUGAACAGCGGUUGCUAGGUUGUGGAUCGAAGGAUCUAGCUAAUGACGUUGCAUCGUUAGCGUGGACGGGCACCCGUGCAUGAGUCUGAACACAUACUUGCUGCCUGAACAAACAGCAGUGGCUGCUAGCUUACAAGUGGACAGAAGGGUCUAGCUAGUGACGUGACAUGCGCAAGCGUGUGCGGACACCCGUGCAUGAGUCUGAACACUUGGCUGCUGCCCACCGGAACAAUGGUGCUGUAAUGGACUUGGAAGUCUUGCGAUUGGUUCCUCGCCCAAAAGGUUCUGGGACAACCGUAGUGCCGAUGGGGACUGGGAGUCAUGCACAGCUUGAUUUGUCAGCCUGUAACAUGCUGGCCAGAGUGCGGAGGUACCGUGCACGUCGGGUUGCUGGUAGACCCGCGGAGUCCUCUCCUUGAAAGAUGCCGUGAAAGCUUAGGCCAAACAGACUGCAAUCCACGCGGGCGGGG
RNAcentral lists this long non-coding RNA (488 nucleotides) under Chlamydomonas reinhardtii. RNAcentral's name for it is "long non-coding RNA (CREI_LNC000288)". The record is from RNAcentral. Lineage: Eukaryota; Viridiplantae; Chlorophyta; Chlorophyceae; Chlamydomonadales; Chlamydomonadaceae.